UUUCUAUAUAAAUUCAACCCCAAGCACCUCCGCAGCUAUCAAUCUCUGCCUUCCUCCUCUAUGAAUCUUCUUACCUUCAAUUUUUUUUGUAUUUUUUCGUAUUUUUUAUUUGAUUUUCUUGAUUAAGAAUCUGCAGAAAGGCAUCUACUACGAACUUCUCUGCCGUUGUUAAUGGCAGGGAGACUAAGAAAAGAUGCGAAAUCAAUGUCCAAAAGGAUACUUGGUACUUCUGGACAGGCAGGCUCUCAUAUCACUACGAUGAGUUCUGACUUUUUCUCGUAAGUCCCACAAUUUUUCUCACCUCCCAAACACCCCAAAAGUCCCAAAUUUUCUGUUUUUCUUGUUGCUCGAUGAUGAUUUUAUCUGCUUUAACCACACCGAAGCGAGGCUAGAACCGUUGGAUCUUCCCUCCCCUGAAUUAACCGCGCAGAUCAACGGCGGUGCUUCUUGUGCUUGGUGUUUCUUGAUGACUCCGUUUUCUAAUAACAGAGGUUGAUUUUUGGAUCUGACCUCUGGUUUUAGGGAAGAGAAGAAGGAUUUGGCAAGCAUUUGAAGCCCAUUGUUUGAUUUUUUGGGUUGAUUCUUGUUAGGGUUUGUUUUUCAACUGUUUGAUGUUUCUCAUGUGGACAAACUUUGGCCCUUGACUGAGAGCAACUAAUCACCAUUUUUCUGCUAAUUUAUUUUUUAGGGUUCUUGUAAUCUUUUUGGGUUUCUUACCCUCUUUUAUUCUUAAUAUUUUGGUUAAGGUUUAGUAGUCGAAUUUUUUAGGGUUUUUAACUCUUAGAUGAUUGUUUAAUGCAAGUAAAAAUAAUUUUUAACUAAUUGUAUUAUAACAUUUGAUACGCCACACUUUGUAUUACACUGAAAAACUUUUAAAAUUAUUUAAUAACUAAUUGUAUUGUGAUACUUUAACGUAUGUUUGACAUUUAUUUUGGGGAAUGAUGAUUAAACUGUGACAUAGGCUUCUGCUCUGCUGAAUUAUGUUUGCACGUCAGUCUGAUCCCAAAUUCCCACUUCAGAAAAAAAAGUUAUUUUCAUUUUCCUGUCAUUUGUUAAUUAUCUGAAUCCGAGAGUCCCGUUUUCUUGGUCACUUUUGAAUUUGAUGUUAAAGGAUUAAAAGAAUGAGUUCUUCGGAUAUCAAAUUUAAGGGUGAAUGACCAUCCGAUUCAUGAACAAUCGGUUGGCGGGAAAAGAUAAAUAUAUAUUCGUUUCUUCAUAGUACAUUACACUCGGGUAAUUUGAUCUUAAGCAAAGACUAAAACGCCGAUUACAAUCCAAAUGGAACAAAUUAAGAUUGAAGUGCAAAUUCUUUGUAGGAAGGUGCGAUGAAAAAUAAAUCUGCUUGUUGUCUGCAGACAAAACGCGGCUGACAUAACUCUGCAGAACUACAUACGGUAAUAGUAAUGGUAAUGUAUCCUUGAGUAAUCAUCGGAGAGAUGCCUACUAGGGUGAAGGAGGCGCGAAUAGUUUCGGGUAGAGUUUAUCUGCGAGAACCGCGUUCGCUGCGUCGGUAGGGUGGAAUGCGUCCCAGAACACGUAGUCUCUCCGGUUGCUGCAUACCUGUGAGUUAGGCAAGCAUAGCCCUCCAAUGUUUGUGGCCACAUUGCAACACGGAAGGUUCGAAACCUUAAACCCUGAAAAAUUGGUACGUACGUUGUAAGUUAAACGUCUGCGAAUCAACUUCGAAUCUACAGUUUGAGUUAUCGAGUUUGAUUACCGGAAGCUGUAGGGUUUUGGAUUAAGUCGAGGACGUCUCCGUAUGUGUCUGCAAAUGAGAGUUUUGCCCCUGGGAGUUGGCUGUUAAGAGAGGCAAGGAGCUUUUGUACUUUGGAGUUGAAUCCUAGCAUCAUCUGGUUCACUUGGUUUAAGCACUGCCCUGUGUUUGAUCUGACUCUUUGAGAAGGAAUGCAGCCAAGUGGUCCGAGACCAUGGAACGUCAUAUUUCGGGCACCCAGCUGGUAGAGCCUCUGACAAACAAUUUGAACAUGCAUUGUUAAUUAACUAGGGUUUAGGGCUGUAAAUCGGCUCGAAAGAGCUCGAGCUUGCACCAGUUUUGGAUCGUUGAAGCUUGUGAAAGAAACAAUCGAAGCCUAUGUUCUUUGGCUCAAUGAGAAACAAGCCAAGUUUGAGUAUAAACCCUGGAUUUUUUCGAAUGAGACAACUCGAACUAGUUUACAAAAAGUUUGCUUGGAAUGAAAGAUCAAAGACCAAGAUUGUGAGUGAAUUAAAAUACGUUCGCUAAAGUAACCAAUUUAAAAUAUGAAUAUAAAACUUGAUAUUUAAGCAAAGCGCGGUAUUUCUUUUCUCAAAAUAUUGUAAAAGAUGUGAGAUGUGUCGUUUACUCGUUAGUGUUUACUAACCUUAAAUUGUCUCUCUAAGGUACCGACCAAUAAUUCCGCAAAUUGUUCGGGAGUGUACUGCCGACCAGUAGGUAAAAAGGGUUGCAGGUAAUUGUUGAUAUAAUCAUUGCUCCCUGAAAAAAAAAAGCAAAGGAAAAAAAUAUAUAGUAAAAGAUCUUAGAUAUAUACGAGCAAUUGUCUAAACUACUCUAAUUACGGGAAACGGGACUUUAGACUCGGGUGCAAGGAAAUUAGUCACUGACUUAUCCCACGUCUACAUAAAAAAUGCGUUCUUUUCAUCUAGAACAAGAUUUCAUUUGUCUAAUAAAAGAGUACCAAGUCCAAUGAAGUAGACGGCAUCCUUGCAAAGCUUGGCUGCAGCCUGUGCCCCAAUCUUAGCCUUGAUGACAUCCGUUGUCUUUUUGAAAUCUUGUAUUUGAUCAUCAAGACUCAGCCUCUGAAUCUGUCAUGAAGAAAAAUAUAAAAAAAAGGAUGUAAGAUUAUAGAGCAUUUACUCCUGCACCUGAAGUUGUGGGUUCAUCGACGCGAUCAAAAUAUUUUAGGAAGAAAUGUGAUUACAAAAUAGAGUCCAGUGCUAUUGAGUAUUCCUGCUCCACCAGAUGCAUAAUUAACCCCUUUAAGCAGUUGAUCAUCGUUCGGUGACAAGGAUAGAUAAGGUGGUGGCGAUGGAAUGAUCCCCAUCUUUUGGGCUACAAAAAUCACAAACAAAAUUCAACAAGUUCAUCAAGAUACAAAGGAAAAGAAAAAAAAUCGACAUCGGGUAAGUAUAACUGUAUAAGAAUCAAGAACAGUACAUAUUACGUCACCGAUGGUUCUUCCAUUACUGAACCUCCCAGUAGGUCGACCACCAACAUAAUCGAUACCAUACCAAGGAUAAUUUGACUUUGCAAGAGAAUACUGCAGAUAGUUGUUGUUUCCUACAUCUGUCAAGGAGUCACCGAAGGUGAAGGUCACGGUAGUCGCUGCCAAUGAAGGCACGGCUACCAUGGUUGCGAAAAUGGUGGUAGCUAGAGCCAUCCACAUUGUCACUUCCAUCUUUGAAUGUUUCUCACUUGGGGAGUAAGUGGCAGCUAGUGAGACAAGAAUUUAUAGUAAAUUGAUCGUGAAAAUUCUGAUGAGGUCUAAAGCAGCACAGUUUGGGGAGUUGGCCAACUCAGCUGCCUAAGUCAGCAGAGUUUGAUUUGUUACUUGUUAGGUGGUGGUUGCUUCAGAGUGUAAAGAUUACUAAAUUUCGAAAUUAACAGAAAGCAUGCACAAUGAUGUCAAAGUUCACUUGUUCUGCUCUGAGUUUUCUUAUUUGGCUGCCUACUUUGGGUUAGUUAGAUGCCAACUACGCUUAACAACUACUUAGUACUGUCAACAACCGAAUCAAUGGAAUCACCUCUUCUGAAACCACUAUCACUUUAUACGUAAGUAUAUUCGGACAAGAGUCGGGUAUGUCAACUGGAGGAGGAAUUGCUGAAUGUCGAAGAGCGGUCUAGUAAUAGGUUUUAGAUUCAAUUCUCGUAAAUGGUGAGUUCGAUACUAAAUUAGAACAAUACUUGGCUACUCAAAUGAUGAUUAGGAAUUCCUACUCAAAAUUGUUCUUUGUCGAUGUGUUUUGAUCAAAACCGUUCAUACUAUAAAUUACUUUAUAAAGAUUGCCUCUAUGAAAAAUCAAUUAAAACUAAGGUCGUUUAGUCAUCGAACUAUAUAAAAAUAGAUGAAUGAAUUGAUAAAAGCAUUAUGAGCCGUCUAUGUAUUUACUACAAUAGAUCGACUAAACGACGUUAGUUUUAAUUCAUUUUUGCAGAGAUGACUCAUAAUAUGAACGGUUUUUAUCAUAAGCACAAAGCUUUGUGAUUCGAACACAAAGAGUUUUGAGUAGAAGUUUCUACUCAUCCUUGAGGAGUCAAGCAUUGUUCACCAAAUUAUUCCCCCACUCUUUUAGUGUAAAUAUAUUGUUAUUUAAAAAAUAAUGUCGUAAUUGGUCAUUAACUCCCUGCACACAAACUAGAGAGUUGUUCAAGAACAUCCCUAACGUGUCGUCACUUAUUAAUUUUGCAUUUUCAAAUUGUAACGGAGAAAUAUAAUGGAAACAAUUAAAGGAGAAGCUGAUCCACGGUCCACCUAUAUAGUAAAAAAUUACAUAAAUUAUUACAUAAAAUGGUAAAUAUUUACUAGUGGUGAAUUGCCAUGGUAGUUAGGGGUUUCGUCUUUAACCAACAGUAUCCAGUCAAAACUGACAUUGCAACAUGUAAUGAAUUGUAACAAACAAUGCUCAUCAAAGAUAAGUUGUCUGAUAUUAUAUCAAGGGAACCUGCAAGUUCUUGCACAGCAAAACAAGGUUCAGAUCGCAUAUAUAUAAUGUCUAGCGGGCUACUUUCUGCUCUCCUUGUUCUUGCCCCUCUGGUUCUUGUUCUUUGUCUUCCCCUUGUUUCUGUUACAUUGGGAAGCAGACGCAGCAUCAGCCAACAGAUUUGACUCAUUGCAUAUGCGAUUCUCCUAGGCUAUGAUGUGACUGUCCCCGGUCUCACUCGGUACAGAAACAACAUCAGUUUGCGGAGACUCUGGAUGCUUGCUGGAUUCGCAAUUUUCCUCACCUAUAGUGUAACUUUCCCCGGCGUCACAUGGUUUAUCUAAUGCAGAGCACCAGUCUUCCCCUCCCCAGAAUUGGUUGCACAAUACACACGACUGCAAGAUCCAGCUCGCGAAGCUUUUUGGACGGGUGGUUUACGAAACAAUUUUCUAAAUAUGUCAUCCCUCGACUGGUUGGCCUUCCAUGUCAACAAAGAUAGCAUCUGAACAUAACCUUGAACAAUUGGUCCCAAAACUUGCUAUUACCAAGUUUUAGCUACCAUCUUAAGAGCUGCCGCGAGCACAUUGACAUCUAAGCUAACAGAUUUGCGGCUCCUCUUGUUUUUGAGGGUAUCAUAAAACUCCGACGGCAGCUGUUCAGUGAUAUAGUUCCUCCCCAUCAAAUCAUUGAGUAAAUCUAGAUCAAUACCAAAAUUCACAUAAACCAAGCAUAACACAACGACCAAUCCAACAGGAGUAGUGAAUAGUAGUUCUUCUAAUCUUAGAUGGACAUUUUCAUCCAUUCAACUAUAUCCACCUUAUUGAAAAUGCACUCCCGAACCACAUCAAGCUCAUUAUUCAAAAUGAUAGAUACAAUAAACCUUUAUUGGCGAUUAUACCGGUCAUUGCUGAAGUGACAUCACGUAAAAUCAUUGCAGAGGAGCGAGAUCACAUCAAGUCAUUGUUGUACGGCAAGACCACAUAAUAUAGCCAUCGCAAAGUGGAAACCACAACACUUGCAAACCUAGGCAACAAGACAACUACACUACUUUGAGAAUGGAACCACUAAUCGGCUAAUCUAAAGAGGGAGCUCAGAGAAGCAAUGACAAAAAUUCAGAAAUUUGAGUUCAAACUUAAAUUAAUAUUCACUAUCAUUUAAAAAAAUUUAUUAUUAACGUUUCGUAUAAAAUCUCUAAUUUCUUUUUUGUUCGUUUAAACUUUAAUAAUUUUUGACAUAAAAAAAGGAAUAAUUAUUUUUAAUUGACUAUAUUCUUUAUUUAAUUGUGAUAGGAAAAUAAAAUUAUAAAAUUUGAAUAAUGAGCUUGCGCACCAAAUUUGGGUAUUAAAAACCUUAAAAACUUACAAUAUUGAGUAAACAAGUAAAUAAAUUUGUUGUCGCAAAAACGUUUAUUUGUGCAUCUGAGUUUUAUCUUAAAAUUUCAAAUUUCUCUCAUCUCAGUAACACCUUUAUCAAAGAAGAAUACAUGAAGAUUCUUUAACAUACAGCUAGCUAUACUUUUUUAUUUCCUUUUUCUUUUAAAGUAUGACUCAUAAGUCCUGGAAGGAAGGUUCUCAAAUGUACAGCUAGCUAUACUUUUUUUUUUGCUUUUUCUUUUAAAGUAUGACUCAUGACAAUAUAUUUCUGUUUGCCCUUCCAUUUCCAUACUUUUACCAUCUAUUUUUGUUUGUAUAGUCACAGUUAAGUCACGUCAAUAUUUUAUAUUUUUAUUACUUUUUAUUUUAUUAUUUUAUAAAAAAUUAAUAUAAAAUAUUAACGUGGUUUAACUGUAAUCACACAUCGCAGGAGGGCAUGUGAAAAGUAUGGAAAUAAGAAUGCAGACAAUCUACUUCCAAACUCAUAAGCAUGACGAUUAAAUAAAGAAUAUUAAUAAAUAUUUUGUCAGUAACACUUUUCAAAGGAUGACAACUUAAUAACACUUUUUUUAUUUGUUGCAUUUUUCUUUCAAAGCAUGACAACUCAAUAACACUUUUUUCAAAUUUCUAACAACUCAAAAGGUUAGAAAUUUUGACGAUACGAAUUUUACUUCUCUUGCAACAAAUCACGAAAGAUAAAUAUUAAUAAAUAUUCUUGAAAUAUGAAAAUUUCCAACAAAAUUCAACGAAAUUGGACCAGAGCCACAAACUAGGGUGGUUUCUAGCUCUUUGGUCGUCACCAACAGUGGAUUGGACGGUAUUGGUAGAUUUGAGAGAAACAACUCAAAAGCAAGGAAGAAAAUAUCGGUAAUAUCGGAAAUAUCGGUAGUCCGAAAACACGGAAAUAUCGAUAGAAAUAUCGGUAAAAUAUCGAUAUCGAUAAAAAUUACAUGGAAACUACGGAAAUUGGAAGAAAAACUUGGAAAUUUUUAUUGAAACUUUGUAGGAUGUUUAUUUAGUCAAUUAUCUAUUAGUUUAUCACAAAAAAUUGGAAAGAAAUGCAUUGCAUGAUGGAUUUAACAUUAUCAAGUUGAUUAUAUAGCGAGCCAACAAACAUUGUAAGUGUAGAAAAUAUGUAGUAAUUAAUGAAAGAAGUCUAAACACACCAUAAUCAUUUAUAUAUAAUGAAUUAGUACAAUAUUUUACACUUUAUACAUUGCAUGGUAAGAUACAUAAGUGACUUAGUACCACAUAGAGUUCCUAUGAGGUUCAAAAUUUUCACUAUCUUCAUCAUCUCUAUGUGUAGAGUGAGUGUAUUGUGAAGAGUAGUAUUCCAAUUUAAUGAAUAAUCCAAUUUAAUGAAUAAUAAUCCAAUUUCAUAAAAAAUAAUCCUAAUAUAAAACAUGGUGAUGAAUAAUAAUCCAAUUUGAUAAUAAUCCAAUUUAAUGAAUAAUCCAAUUUGAUAAUAAUCCAAUUUAAUGAAUAAUAAUCCAAUUUGAUAAUAAAAAAAACCUAAUAUUAAUGAAUAAUAAUCCAAUUUGAUAAUAAAACAUAAUAUUAAUGAAUAAUAAUCCAAUUUGAUAAAAAAAAAAAUCCUAAUAUAAAACAUGGUGAUGCAAAAUCUAAACAAGGCGAUAACAAGCCAAUUGGCAAAAAUGAUUAAAAAAAUCUAAAUUGUCUAACUGACCGACACUCUUAUAGACUCAUUAUAUCACUUUUAUAGACUCAUCUUACCCUUAUAAAUUCAUUAUUUUUCUUGAAAUUGAUUAGAAUCAUUAGAAAAACAAUUUUUUGCAUUUCCAUAUGCCUAACCAAUAAAUACAACUUCUACUAUUUCCCUGAAAUUAUAUAUUUUCACUUUUUCCCUGAAAUUGAGUCAUUUAUCCUAAUCUAAUCUAGACCCCCAGAUUAAUUUAUAUUUUCACUCUUUUUCUGAAAUUAUAUAAAUUUGCAAUUGAGUCCUUUUCCUAAUCUAAUCUGGACCUUCCAUCUUGAUUCUCACUCUCUGUCACGCUGCCACGUGGCAGCCCACUAACCCUCACCCUAUCUCUCUCUCUUUUCCUGAGUCCCUCUCGGACCCUUCACUCUCUCAGAGUUCUCAACUCUAUCUCUCUCUCGAACUCUCGUUCUCUCACUCCAUUUCCCCGAUCGCACCCACACCCAGGCACACCCAAAUCCGUCCACCACGAUGCCAGCGCAGCAUCUCCACCAUCCUCAUGAACUCUCCCUCCCUCUCCUCCGUCUCUGGGAAGCACGGCGACGCACAGAGGAAGCUCGGCUUCCCCGAUCGCACCCACACCCAGGCACACCCAAGUUUUCAGGUGAGAUCCGACUAAACCCUAUGUUGAUUACCUCUUGCAUGCGUGAAAUUUGAACCUUAUAUGUGAAAUUGAAGUUCAAAAUCGUGUUUUUGCAAGGUUUUUGGGACGAAAUCGGCUCGGAAAUAGGCACACAAUCUCCGGCGUUCUUCUCCGAUUGCACCGUUAAAAAAAUAUCGCGAUAUUUCCAAAAUAUCGCAAUAUUAUCGAUAAUAUCGCGAUAUUUUGACGAAAACCCCUUGGAUACCACUUAAAAUAUCGGUUUGGGGAAAAACCGAUAAUAUCGGCGAUAUAUCAUCGAUAUUAUCGAUAUUUUCUUCCAUGCUCAAAAGAGAUGGAAAGAUAAAGAUAAAAUAAUAAAGAAGAAGACGAAAGAAAAGAGGAAUAAAGAAGUCCACAUCAAUACCUCCAUUUUUGUGAAAGAAAUAAAAAAAAUUAAAUCAAUUCCUGGCCUCAUGAUUUGAAUCAGACGGCCAAUAUGACUGAGUCCGCAGAAUCCAAAGUCACACAUGUGCUCUUUGUAUUCCCCAUUUUGGUGGUCGGAAAUGCCAAAUGAUGGUUUUAGUUUGCGUGUAAAACCCUUUAAAAAACGAAAAUUAAUGAAAAGAGUUUAAAAACUUUAAGUUUUAAUAAAAAUGAUAAAAUAAAAAGUAAAGUAAAUAGUAAUAAAAUGGAGAAAUUAGGUUCACAUCCUUUUUUUUGCUACUCCAUUGAUUAAAAUCUUAUUCAUUUUCAAUUUUUGAUCAAGGUCCUUGGUAUUAAUAACAUCAUUAAUUAUUUGAUUAAUAAAAUAUUUUUAUUUUUAAAUAUAUUCCUUUAGUGUUAAAAAUGUUACAAUUAGUAUAUUUAUAUUUAUGGCUAAAUUUUUUAUCAUAUAUUUUUAUUUUUAGUAGGUACCUAUUUUUAAUUUGUACCAAUUUUUUUUCAUUUUUAAUUUGUUCCCAUAUAUUAGUUUCUUUUUGUGCCCAUAUUUUUUAAAGUUUUAUUUGUGUUUGUACCCAUGUGUUGUAUAUUUAAUCAAUGAUAGAAAAAUUACAUAUGGUAUAUUUAUGUUUUAUGCCUAAACUUUGUAUCAUAUAUUUAUAUUUUUAGUUUGUACCCACUUUUAAUUUGGAACAUUUUUUUAAAUUUGUAGUAUUUUUUUUUAGUUUUAUUUUGUACCCAUGUAUUAAUUUCUUUUAGCGUCUAUAUUUUUUAAAAAUUCAUUUGUACUCAUAAUUUUUUAAUCUUUUAUUUGUACCCUAAUUUAUUUAUAAUGUACUCAUUCUUCUUUAUUAAUGUACCGCUUUGUUAUAUGUGAAAUGUACCCAUUUUUUUAACACUAUGGAUACAUUCUCUUGCCAUUUAUUAUUUCUUAUUUUUACAUAGUUUUUAUCCAUUUAUUCAAUCAAAAUGUUUGAAUUUUUUUAUUGUAACCGUUUUCAAUAGUAUUAUAAUGAGGGAUUUUAAAUUUAUAGGAUUAUAAAUCUUAUAAAAUCUCAAACAAUUAAUGUCAAAAAUAUAAAAAUAUAAAUAUUAAUUGUAAUAUAAUGAGGUGUACAAAGUCAAGGGACUUUGAUCAAACUUUGAAUACCAUUAAGGUUUUAGUCAAAGAAUGUUAAGGAUUAGGGAUCGCAUCCAAAGUAUCCCUAAUAAAAUUAACUUUUUAAUGUAAAAAUAUAAUUUUUAAUUGAAAUAAACAGAACCAUAACUUUUCGUUAAAGUUACCUUAAAAAAAAAUAUUAAAAAAAAAAAAAGCAAACGACAACCAUGUUACAGAAUAGCCUGGAGCUUAAGACAAGCACCCAUUGUUCAGUUCCCUUCUGUCUCUCCCGCCAGAAGCUCCGCCGUAAAAAAUCAUGAGCUUCUCACAAAUUUAACAGAAGCAAAACAAAAACCCAUUCAUCAAAAUCUUCCAUCCUUAAUCCCACCAAAAAACCAAACAGCAAUGUCGGUGGCGUGUGGCAUGGAGUGCGUGGUUGUGUUGGGCUGUAUGCGUUGGGUGUGGCGGCGCUGCACCUACAUCGGCGCCAACGACAGCUCAACCUGGACAUCCGCCUCUCCCGACGAGUUCGACCCAGUUCCCCGUGUCUGCCGCUUAGUCCUCGCCGUCUACGAGGCCGAUCUCCACAACCCCCACUUCAUCCCCACCUGCGGAUUCCGCCCCAACCCCGACUGGGUAGUCAAGCGCGUCACCUACGAGCAAACCGACGGCCAGGCGCCUCCUUACCUCAUCUACGUCGACCACGACCACAAGGAGCUCGUCCUCGCCAUUCGCGGCCUCAAUUUGGUCAAAGAGAGUGACUACAAGCUCUUGCUCGAUAACAAGCUCGGAAUGCAGAUGUUCGACGGUGGAUAUGUCCACCACGGCCUCUUGAAGUCGGCGAUUUGGCUGCUUAACGAAGAGGGCGAGACAUUGAAGCGGCUCUGGCUCGAAAACGGGUCCAAUUACGAUAUGGUGUUUGCGGGUCACUCUUUGGGGUCUGGUGUGGCGGCGCUGCUGACUGUCAUUGUGGUCAACCAUCGGGACCGGCUAGGCGGAGUCCCCCGAAGCAAGGUGAGGUGCUAUGCGCUUGCUCCGGCGCGUUGUAUGUCGUUGAAUUUGGCCGUCAAGUAUGCCGACGUUAUUUACUCGGUUGUUUUGCAGGUAGGUUUGUCUGAGUUUAAGGUUGUCAUUUGUGUUUGUAAAUGUGUUUGUUUUGUUUCGAAUUGUUUUCGUGACUUGUGGAAUUGGUGAUUGUGUUUGUAGGAUGAUUUCUUGCCAAGAACUGCAACCCCUUUGGAAGAUAUUUUCAAGUCCAUCUUUUGGUUGGUACUCGUUGAAACCAUUAAAUUUUAUUAUAUCACGAAAAAUAAAACAAAUUUAAUUGGAAUUGUAGAUUUUAAAGUGGAGUGAACUACUAACACUUUUGGCGGUUUUCGACAGCUUGCCCUGCUUCUUGUUUUGGUUUGUUUGAGGGAUACUUUCAUACCAGAAGGUAGGAAGCUUAGGGAUCCCAGAAGGCUUUACGCACCUGGUCGGAUGUAUCAUAUUGUUGAGCGCAAAUGUUGCAGGUACCCCAUGAUCCUUACAACAAUCUUGUCAUUUUAUUUUUGUGAAUCUUGAAAGUGUGGUUGAAUGUCCAUUGACAAAGAAACCUUGAUGCCAUUCGGUACUUAUGGAGUCAAGGGUAAUGAAUUCCUGAAUGAAUGCAAGCAUGCUACUUGCCUUACUUACAGCUGUUGCACAUUUACAUCAUAUCAUUAAUUUGCACAUCCGCAUGAAUCCGGUGCUUAGGAUUUUGGAUUUUUUGAGACCAAUGUGAAAUUUGUGUCCUUGGUAACUGUUGCUCCAUGGCCUAGAAAUUGUUUUGCUUUGUGAUUCACAGACUCUGGUAGCGGGAGGCAAUUGCUCUUUAGGUUCUACUUAGGAAAUGGAUUCUUCGUGGCUUUUCAUUUUAAUGUACUAUGUAUAUCUGGUGAGAACAUUAGUCGUUAGACUCUGUAGGAUCUACCCUCUAGGAGCUCCUUUCUCCCUCAGAGAGCUCAUAGAAGAAUCCCUACCUUAGGAGGUGGAAAGGGAGUAUGAUUGAAGUUGAAUUUUUCUGACUCCUCCCUAAAUUUUAGCUAUGGGGCUCAUUCAGGGAGCAUGUUGGAGAUGCUCUAACUCGUAACAUGAAAAAAUGUAUGCUACAUUUGGAUGAGGACUUUCAAAGCCCAAUGAACUUUAAAAUCUAUCCUUUGAACUAAGCCUACCAAUGAACUACUCAAACAUUACAAAGCUACUCUAAAACACUACAAAUGCAGCAAGGGACUUUCAAAAUGACCUUGAAAGGUUUCAUUGAAAUUUCUCUCAAAGGUAUAGCAUAACAAAGUCCAUCCACAUAAUUUUUUUUAUGUAUGCCUAGCUAAGUUAGCAUCUAGUUCUUUUGAAAGUUCAUCAACAUAUUUUUGUGGUGCUUCCUAACUAAUGUAGCCUAAGUUUGAUGGAACUUCAAAGUCCCUCAUGCAAGUGCACAUUAGUUGUAACUUUUGCCCUCAUUUUCUUUUGGAAAUAAGUUUGAAUCUUGAUUCUUGUCUAAUGAAUGUUUCACUAGAUUUUUACCAGGGUGUGGUACUAUUUGGAAUAGAUAAAAACUUAAUAAGUGGGGUUUACAAUGUCUAUAAUUGUACAUUGAAUGGUCAUGGUGCCUCAAAAAAAUUGGAUAUAAAAAUAUUACCAUUUUCAAAGUUCUCUGUUAAUUGGCCAUUAUCUCUAGGAGUAUCUCUUGGUAAAUACAUCUUUUUAUGUCAGGUUAUGGUCUUCUAAUUGUUAUGAACUGUUGGCUUAUCUAUAACAAUGCUUGCUUUUUUAAAGAAAUCCAUUAUUUGUACCUUACUUUUGCGUCAAGUAAAAUCUUCCCGAUACCAGUUUGCGAAGUUUCAAAAUUGGAACAAAUCUGUUUGUUUUGAUGGGAUUCUCUUUGCGGGUGUGUCUGUUGAACUAAUUAAUGAUUUACUUUCUGGAAGGCAUUAGUGUUAUGUUGGAACCCAAACUGUUGUGUUCAUGCGAUGAUUGAGUUCCUCGUUGCUUCGUAUAACAGAUGUGGGAGGUUUCCUCCAGAGGUCCGAACUGCCAUUCCUGUUGAUGGGAGAUUUGAACAUAUAGUCUUGUCAUGUAAUGCCACAUCUGAUCAUGGAAUUAUCUGGAUAGAAAGGGAAGCGGAGAAGGCUUUAUUAGUAAGUGGAACAUAACUUACAACCUUUUAUAACCCUUAUCGUUUCUUUUCCUUUUGAGACUGCCAUGAUUAUCAUUUCGUACAUUUUAUUUUUCCUGUACAACAACAACAACAACAACAACAACCAAGCCUUAUCCCAGUAAGUGGGGUCGGUUGUAUGAAUCCUAGAAUGCCACUGCACUCGAUGUUCCGCCAAGUCUACAUUUUACUUUUCUUAGUUAAACUAAAUUAAAUAUGCUUUUAGCUCAAGGCCGAUUCUUCAAUUUCCACUGGGAUGCAAAGAAUAUCAGCAUUCUGUUUAUCUCCUGCCCAAAUCCCCAAAGUAACAUGAUUGACUAGCUGUCUUGUAGAGUAGCUUGUGUCUUAAGGUUGUCUUUGGUUGUUGGAAAGGGAGCAAGAAGUAAACGGAAAAGGGUUAAGCUACUGUCUUUGGUCACUUUUUCUUAGUUUGAGCAGAGGUAACUGGUGGAACAAGAUCAGAAGGAAAGAAGGCCGGUCUUCACUCUGACAAUUCAAUUUCCAUUUGAUAUAUUGUCCCUUCAUUUACUAAGAAAACCAUCCGCUCAAAGCUUUCCCUUUCUCUCCCUAGGCUAUAAGUUGUUUCCUCCCCCUUUGCAUUUGUGGACAUUGUUCAAGUGCCAACAUGUGUCAAUUGGUUAGAUUGUCAGAAUGUGUUAUUCUUGGGUUUUUACGAUUGCUAAUUAUGGAUCUUUUUAGCGAGCAUAUAGGUGAAAUUGUGAACCAUAGUGUAAAGUGAAAUUUUGGGAGUUUAUCUGUUUGCUAUUGAAUUGCAAAUGCUUAUCUUUUAUAUGUUGAAUAAUUACUGAUCAGUGAUGUAAAUACUCUUCAGAGAAUGAAGGAAAGUUGUUCUGAGACCGUAACAACUGCCCCAAAAGUACAAAAACUAGAGAGGUUGCGGACCUUUGAAAAAGAACACAAAGAUGCAUUGGAAAGAGCUGUCAGUUUGAAUGUGCCUCAUGCUGUAACGCCCAAUGAGGAAGCCCCCGAAGACCAAAAACUGGAGGAGGCUCCAGAGAUUGGGAAUAAGAGUGAAGACCCUGCCGAUACAAAGUCGAAGUCCACUGGUGGAAGGGCAAGUUGGGAUGAUGUGGUUGAAAAGCUUUUCAAGAAAGAGUCUGGGCAUCUACUGCUAAAAAGAGAUUCAAAUCCCCCGGAAUAGCAAAAUUCUUUUGUUCGUGUAAAGUUUGCUCGAUACAAACCAAGGAGAUGAAGAUACAAGCCAACAGUAAUCUAAGGUUUAAAAAUAGGUGAUCCUCUCCUAUUGCACCGAGGUCCUUUAAGAUAAAGCCCUACACUUGAGAGCCAUUCGGCUUAAUACCACCUAGGGUAUUGGGUUUAGGUGGUUAAUUUGAGACACUAUCGGUGCAUUGCUGGAGUUAGGAGUGGACACUUGUGGACCCGUGACACUUGUUUCUUAGAUUGUGCUUUUCUCUGAGGUUUAGGUUCUUGUGAAUAGUUCAUGGGCACAUUUCCUGCCCGCUUUGGUAUUUGUACAUUUUAUAGGUAAAAGAGUUGUGCAAUAUUACACAUUACUACGGGUCCAUUACCCAUGGGAGAAAAUUUGUCAAUACAAAAAAUACUCAAAACUCCUUGAUAAACUUUAUCUGGUCUUUACAGUUCCAUCUAUGCAUCAAUUUUCUUUUAUUCAACAAUCAAAAGCCAAUGAAAUAUUCAAGGGAAAUGAUUUUUGCACUUCUCUUUUCUCCUCAGGUGUCCUUAUUAUCUAGUCUUAGGAUGGACCAAAGGAUAAUUGGGGGACAAAAACAAGGUGAGGAGUGUAAAACAAGAGUGAAAUUCAUAAACCAUAUUGUUUGGGUUAAUAUUUGAACAUUGGACCUAGAUGAAGGAAAGCCUAAGGAUGACAACUAAAAGGGGAUUUGCCCGAAGCCCAGCACCAAGCCCAAAGGCAAAGUGAAGCCUUCUCAGCCAAAAUGCAAGCCACAUGCUUACUAUGGAAGUGACAAGUGAUGGAGACUAACCUACUACCAGCCAAAGAACACUUUCUAGUGGCAUUCCAAGUAAAAAGUAGAUGACUCACUACCCUCCAAGUGCUUUCGGGCAAGAACAAAGUUACAACAGUCGGGCUAAUUUGCCUAUAAAAGAAGGAAGAUGCCUCAGAGACAAGGACACUCAACCAAUCAAACAAACAAACAUACAAACUCUGCUCUCAAGCUAGAUUUGCAUCCAAAAGCUGAAAUCAACCCAGAUUCAAUCAUUUUUAGCGACAAGCUAUCUCUUGUUCAGUUUAAAGCUCUGCUAUAUCCCGUAGUGGUAUAAUAUCUAUUAUCUUGUGUAAACUUGUUUACCAUCCAUCCAUUUUUAGCAUAUAAACCCCUAUUAAUUCAAAGAGAAGUGAUUGCAAGAGGUUCAACCUUGAUAGACAAGAUGAAAUCUUGCCCGAAAUUCUUUGUUUGUUUUCUAAAUUUGUAGAUCUACUACUUAAUGCAUUCUCCAGUAUGUAUUCAAGUGAUUUCCACCUGACUUCCUACUUUAAGAGUCUCAUUUGUAUCUAGAUCCGACUAGUUUAAUGGAUAUGUUAUCAUUAAAAGCAACUUGGGACCAAACAAAUGACUUAAGGGGAUCUGGACUCCCUUCAUUCAAACAUGCAAGACUAUGAACUAAAAGGCAUUGUUUACAAGGUAAGAAAAAGAACUUAAAGUAGACUUAACCUAUAUGCAACAAUCAUUUGAUAACAAGAAGUCCGAGUAACUUGGGAUGCAAGUAAUUGACUAAAAACACUCUUGUUCUACAUCUGCUAUACUGAGAUAGCAGUGGCACGCUUAGCACUUAGUUAGUUUUGAUUGCAAGCCUCAAGGCCUACACCUAAGGCCCCACAAAGGCACCUUUUAGAACUAAAUAUGCCCCAUUCUUGUAGCACAUCAACAAGCAAGAGUCUGACUACACAUCCAAAGUGCCAAUCCCUUGGAGAGCUGUGCUGAGGUCCGAGGAUCCUUUUCUAGAGAAAUCUUCACCCGAACACAUAUUAAAUCAAUGACAAAUUCAAGUAUUGAUGACAUUAGAUAAUACUUGCACCGAGGUUUUUUGUGAUAAAUACUUACAUAUUUGUUGUGCUGUGUAUAAGAUAAUAUACAAGCUUGGAGACAACAUCAAUGUAAUCAGUAGUGAGUCGUUCUUAACAAUACUCACAUAUAUACAUCAUCUUACCCCGAUGAGCUAAUAUUGCAUAAUCAUCAAUUUUAUUAACAAAAACACACAAAACUAGUGGCAUUGGAUGCAAGGAUGAGAUUAUGAGGGAUCAAAAUGGACUGGUUUGGUGGGUUGAUCAUUUUGACCGGACUUCUAUUAAGGUAAAAGAAGGAUCAGCAAAACAGGUGAUCUU
RNAcentral lists this long non-coding RNA (16366 nucleotides) under Malus domestica (apple). RNAcentral describes it as "long non-coding RNA (MDOM_LNC018583)". The stretch from base 931 to 1007 matches the Rfam family "Small nucleolar RNA Z122". The record is from RNAcentral. Lineage: Eukaryota; Viridiplantae; Streptophyta; Magnoliopsida; Rosales; Rosaceae.